Long non-coding RNA from Pseudoliparis swirei, 757 nucleotides. RefSeq lists it as uncharacterized. Lineage: Eukaryota; Metazoa; Chordata; Actinopteri; Perciformes; Liparidae. The transcript is spliced from 2 exons. The record is from RefSeq and is a predicted model, not a curated record.
CCUUGGGGUGGUAGGCGUGGCACGACUCCGGGCGCCGCCGCACCUUCUGGGACUUCAUGCGGUUACACUUCACCGUGGCGAUAUACUUGAUCUCCUUGGCGUCCAGCAGGAUGGAUUCGUACUGGCGGGAGCAGUCGCAGUCGGCCUGAGACACGACCAUCAGCAGGUUACUGUCCGGCACCUGCUGCACCACGAACAUCCUGGGAUCAAGAAUCAAUAAUCAAUACACCUGCUGCACCACGAACAUCCUGGGAUCAAGAAUCAAUACACCUGCUGCACCACGAACAUCCUGGAAUCAAUAAUCAAUACACCUGCUGCACCACGAACAUCCUGGGAUCAAGAAUCAAUAAUCAAUACACCUGCUGCACCACGAACAUCCUGGGAUCAAGAAUCAAUACACCUGCUGCACCACGAACAUCCUGGAAUCAAUAAUCAAUACACCUGCUGCACCACGAACAUCCUGGGAUCAAGAAUCAAUAAUCAAUACACCUGCUGCACCACGAACAUCCUGGGAUCAAGAAUCAAUACACCUGCUGCACCACGAACAUCCUGGGAUCAAGAAUCAAUAAUCAAUACACCUGCUGCACCACGAACAUAGAACUAUGUAAAUAUAUCAAUAUAUAUAACUAUGUAACUAUAUAAAUAUAUAUAACUAUGCCCGUGACGCCGGCCCUUUAAGAGCUCCUGCUCCAGGUAAAUCUCACUGACGUUGAUGUUUUCUGAAUGGAGAAAUAAACAGUACAUGACUCCACCACCA